UACAGAGGUCCCAAGCGUUGUUCGGAUUCAUUGGGCGUAAAGGGUGCGUAGGUGGCGCUGUAAGUCGGGUGUGAAAUUUCGGAGCUUAACUCCGAAACUGCAUUCGAUACUGCGGUGCUUGAGGACUGGAGAGGAGACUGGAAUUCAUGGUGUAGCAGUGAAAUGCGUAGAGAUCAUGAGGAAGACCAGUGGCGAAGGCGGGUCUCUGGACAGUUACUGACGCUGAGGCACGA
Molecule: ribosomal RNA, 233 nt
Filed under: uncultured bacterium
Lineage: Bacteria
Description: partial 16S ribosomal RNA
Rfam family: Bacterial small subunit ribosomal RNA
Source: RNAcentral